Molecule: transfer RNA, 75 nt
Filed under: Bacillota bacterium
Lineage: Bacteria; Bacillati; Bacillota
Also listed under: 1 other name
Description: tRNA-Thr
Rfam family: tRNA
About the family: Transfer RNA (tRNA) molecules are approximately 80 nucleotides in length.
Source: RNAcentral
GCCAGCGUAGCUCAGUGGUAGAGCAGCGGUUUCGUAAACCGCAGGCCAUGGGUUCGAAUCCCUUCGCUGGCUCCA